AUAUAAGUCUUAUACUAUCAUCACGAAUCACAACAUACAAAAACAAGAUUUGUCCUUUAAAUUAGAAGAUGGUGAUGUAGAACUGCCCCACUUGGGUCUAAAAACUUGAUAACCACAGGGCAUCCACUAUUCCGUUCCAUGCCGUCCCUUGUCGAACAGCCGUGCACGCAUUCAGCCAGGGUAUGCACGAAUGAAUGCAUCGAGGAAUCAGAGGGCUUCUAGUAGUAGUAUACUACUGUACGCUGUGAUGAGGCAGCAGCUAAGCUGUCAAUUUGUCACGGAAUUUGCAGCUCGAUGGGCGCUGGCCCGUGACACAAGCGAACAAGGGGCGCCAGAUGACCAGGCCGAGCAGCGGCGACCCACCGUACCCCCGGGCGAACACCGAUGGAUCCAGCAAAUCAAGCGGCAAGCAACGCGACCCGUCGCCACCCGGCCGGUGCAGGCCAAACUACGCGCGGGCGCGGCGUCCUGCAUGCGGCAGGGUCACCCGUGGAUGAGGCUGACACGAGGAAGUGACGAGGAUUCUCCGUACUUUUGCGUGGUUGCACGGGCGAUGCGCGCGACGGGGGAUGGCUGCUUGCUCGGUUGCGAUGCGCGGAUACCGCAACGGCGCACGUGGGGCUGUGGCUUCGUCCGCCGCAGUUUCUGCAGCCUUCCACCCGGUUCGGGCUGCGCACCUAGCGGGUGGUUUCGCCUCGGACUCAGGUCGGCAGGCCGCAGGUGCGCGGAGCCGCGGAGCGUCAGGUGAGGCAAACGAGGAAACGGCGGGAUUUGUCCGUGAUUUCUCCGUGGAAUCUGCGUGGUUGCGCUGCACGGGCGGCCGGGCGUGCGCUCGACUGGGGGACGUGGUUGUUCGCUUGGUUGCGCAGGUAUCCAGAACACGUACUACGUGGCGUCCUCCGACGUCCGCCGAGAGUCCGAGACCGCAGUUUCUUCAGCCUUCCUCCCCAGUUUCGAGGCCUGAGGCCUCGUAGCUCGUCAGCGCGGUGACACGUCGUGCUUGUCGGGUCGGGACUCGGUCAGCGAGCUGCACAUGGCAAAAGGCAUGAACUCCGGGCACGGGGUAGUAGUCCUAUAUACGUGCGAUACAUCUUUGUAUCGAGCUGUCAGGUGUGUGUGUGUGUAUACGUUCUGCUCCGUCUACUAGCAUUGAAAUAUACUCCUAUCAACUGUCAAAUAAAAUGUUACGCCUUCUCUGGCUCGUUGCACAGAA
Molecule: non-coding RNA, 1213 nt
Organism: Oryza sativa Japonica Group (Japanese rice)
Lineage: Eukaryota; Viridiplantae; Streptophyta; Magnoliopsida; Poales; Poaceae
Source: RefSeq, a predicted model, not a curated record